Molecule: ribosomal RNA, 252 nt
Filed under: uncultured bacterium
Lineage: Bacteria
Description: partial 16S ribosomal RNA
Rfam family: Bacterial small subunit ribosomal RNA
Source: RNAcentral
UACGUAGGGGGCAAGCGUUGUCCGGAAUCAUUGGGCGUAAAGGGCGCGUAGGCGGGCUUGCAAGUCUGAUGUGAAAGUGCGGAGCUUAACUCCGUAAAGCAUUGGAAACUGUGAGUCUUGAGGACAGGAGAGGAAAGUGGAAUUCCUAGUGUAGCGGUGAAAUGCGUAGAUAUUAGGAGGAACACCAGUGGCGAAGGCGACUUUCUGGACUGUAACUGACGCUGAGGCGCGAAAGCGUGGGGAUCAAACAGG